AUUGAACGCUGGCGGCAUGCCUUACACAUGCAAGUCGAACGGCAGCGGGCCUUCGGGUGCCGGCGAGUGGCGAACGGGUGAGUAAUGCAUCGGAACGUGCCAUUGAGUGGGGGAUAACGUAGCGAAAGUUACGCUAAUACCGCAUAUUCUGUGAGCAGGAAAGCAGGGGACCGCAAGGCCUUGCGCUCUUUGAGCGGCCGAUGUCAGAUUAGCUAGUUGGUGAGGUAAAGGCUUACCAAGGCGACGAUCUGUAGCGGGUCUGAGAGGAUGAUCCGCCACACUGGAACUGAGACACGGUCCAGACUCCUACGGGAGGCAGCAGUGGGGAAUUUUGGACAAUGGGCGCAAGCCUGAUCCAGCCAUGCCGCGUGAGUGAAGAAGGCCUUCGGUU
Molecule: ribosomal RNA, 391 nt
Filed under: uncultured bacterium
Lineage: Bacteria
Description: bacterial SSU rRNA
Rfam family: Bacterial small subunit ribosomal RNA
Source: RNAcentral